AGAUUCAGCCCAGCUGUGGAUGAGUGACCUGGAGUCUGCUUGCAGGCAUUUUCUGUGGUGGACAUUUUCAGUGAGUGUAUUCUUUUUGAAGUUAUCGAGCAUUCUAGUUGUCAGAUGUCUCUCCUGAAAUGCCUAGUCAGUGUCCCAGUGCUGUAGAGAAAGCGACCCUGGAUUUUGCCUGUUGACCAAAUUUAUUGCCUUGGCUUGAUUUUACAAACCUGAGUUGUAUGUCUGCAGCAUCCUUCACAUGACA
Molecule: long non-coding RNA, 253 nt
Organism: Cyanistes caeruleus (blue tit)
Lineage: Eukaryota; Metazoa; Chordata; Aves; Passeriformes; Paridae
Source: RefSeq, a predicted model, not a curated record